CUGUCGUCACAACAACAAAAGAAGCACAAAAAACAAAAGCGAAAUGACACAACAAAAGAAACACAGAAAACAAAAGUGAAAGUACACAGUGCAGCUGCAAUAAAAUGUAAUGCUCUCUCUUUCUUUACAGAGGAGCUGCCCCGCUUUGGUCGCGGAUCCCACUUACCUGGGACUAACCCCGCUUUGGUCGCGGAUCCCACUUACCUGGGACUAACCCCGCUUUGGUCGCGGAUCCCACUUAUUGGGACUAACCCCGCUUUGGUCGCGGAUCCCACUUACCUGGGACUAACCGGUGCACCACCCCUGACUGCUGAAAGUUCUGGUUCCCA
This 329-nucleotide long non-coding RNA is filed under the name Marmota monax (woodchuck). Lineage: Eukaryota; Metazoa; Chordata; Mammalia; Rodentia; Sciuridae. The record is from RNAcentral.